Molecule: transfer RNA, 73 nt
Filed under: Gimesia maris
Lineage: Bacteria; Pseudomonadati; Planctomycetota; Planctomycetia; Planctomycetales; Planctomycetaceae
Also listed under: 1 other name
Description: tRNA-Lys
Rfam family: tRNA
About the family: Transfer RNA (tRNA) molecules are approximately 80 nucleotides in length. Their secondary structure includes four short double-helical elements and three loops (D, anti-codon, and T loops).
Source: RNAcentral
GCCCUUGUAGCUCAAUCGGCAGAGCAACUGACUCUUAAUCAGUAGGUUCUAGGUUCGAUUCCUAGCGGGGGCA